This 331-nucleotide ribosomal RNA is filed under the name uncultured Bacillota bacterium. Its description in RNAcentral is "bacterial SSU rRNA". It matches the Rfam family "Bacterial small subunit ribosomal RNA", at positions 28 to 351 of the family's 1533-position model. The record is from RNAcentral. Lineage: Bacteria; Bacillati; Bacillota.
GACGAACGCUGGCGGCGUGCUUAACACAUGCAAGUCGAGCGGAGGCGGUCAAGGAGCAAUCUAAGACCACUUUAGCGGCGGACGGGUGAGUAACGCGUGAGCAACCUGCCUUUCACAGGGGGAUAACGCAGCGAAAGCUGCACUAAUACCGCAUGAGACCACAGCGGAGAUACCGCAGGGGUCAAAGGAGCAAUCCGGUGAGAGAUGGGCUCGCGUCCGAUUAGGUAGUUGGUGAGGUAAAGGCCCACCAAGCCAAUGAUCGGUAGCCGGCCUGAGAGGGUGAACGGCCACAUUGGAACUGAGAGACGGUCCAAACUCCUACGGGAGGCAG